This 556-nucleotide long non-coding RNA is filed under the name Homo sapiens (human). Its description in RNAcentral is "HSALNT0333488". Lineage: Eukaryota; Metazoa; Chordata; Mammalia; Primates; Hominidae. The record is from RNAcentral.
CUCUAGGAAGGGAGCGAAAGGGGCUUUCAACUCGGUAGUGUUUCCGCGCGUCUACGUGAGAGGAAGGUUGAUGGCUUUCAGGCCCGCUGAACAAUUGCUCUUGAAGUCCUGAGCCACCAUGGAAGAAGUCUGCCAACCCUGCUUUCCAGUGACUGAGUUGCAAGAAUCCUUCAAGAUGCCAAAAAGAUGACCCCAAAGUGAGCUUUGUGUGUCUCCGAGACCACAUAAAGAAGCUCUGAGACCACAUGGAGAAGAUCAGCCCGGCUAAGCCCACUUUUCUGGCUGUCCCUGCCAAGGCACUUGGCAUGGCAGUGAAGCUGUCUUGGAUUUUCCAGACAAAUUAUACUGCCAGAUGAAUACCAGCAUGUGAUCUUAGUUGACACCACAUGAAACAGAAGAAUUUCUCAGCUAAGUCCUCCCCAAAUUCCUGGCCCAAAACAUGAUGGUGUGUUUUUGUCCACUGUUUUGGAGUAACUAUUUAUGCAGCAAUAGAUAACAAGAUCAGAUGUUUACCAGAUUGUAACAGUUUGAUUAGACUAUUUCCUAAGAAUAUUAA